AGUGAACGCUGGCGGUAGGCCUAACACAUGCAAGUCGAACGGCAGCACAGUAAGAGCUUGCUCUUACGGGUGGCGAGUGGCGGACGGGUGAGGAAUACAUCGGAAUCUACUUUUUCGUGGGGGAUAACGUAGGGAAACUUACGCUAAUACCGCAUACGACCUACGGGUGAAAGCAGGGGAUCUUCGGACCUUGCGCGAUUGAAUGAGCCGAUGUCGGAUUAGCUAGUUGGCGGGGUAAAGGCCCACCAAGGCGACGAUCCGUAGCUGGUCUGAGAGGAUGAGCAGCCACACUGGAACUGAGACACGGUCCAGACUCCUACGGGAGGCAGCAGUGGGGAAUAUUGGACAAUGGGCGCAAGCCUGAUCCUGCCAUACCGCGUGGGUGAAGAAGGCCUUAGGGUUGUUAAGCCCUUUUGUUGGGAAAGAAAAGCAGCAGGUUAAUACCCCGCUGUUCUGACGGUACCCAAAGAAUAAGCACCGGCUAACUUCGUG
Molecule: ribosomal RNA, 492 nt
Filed under: uncultured bacterium
Lineage: Bacteria
Description: partial 16S ribosomal RNA
Rfam family: Bacterial small subunit ribosomal RNA
Source: RNAcentral